Molecule: long non-coding RNA, 3185 nt
Filed under: Ananas comosus (pineapple)
Lineage: Eukaryota; Viridiplantae; Streptophyta; Magnoliopsida; Poales; Bromeliaceae
Description: long non-coding RNA (ACOM_LNC016981)
Source: RNAcentral
GGAACAUUCUUAAUUAAAGUUUAAAUCUAAUUUUAAUUAUUAUAUUAAUUUAUUAAUUAAUCUAAUUGAUGUAUUUUAAGUUAUUAUCUAUUGCUUAAAUUGUUAAAUAAAUAAUUAAUCUAUUAUUUAUGGUUAAUUAGCCCAUUAAGAAUUAUUUAUUUAAUAUGUUUAUCUAAUAACUAAUAUUUAUAUUGGUCAACUAAUUAAAUUAAUUUCUCAAUAAAUUAUCUCACUAAUUAAAUAAUUUACUCAUUAAUUAAAAAGUUAAGUUAUAUUUUUUAUUUAAUUAAAAAAUUAAAUAAUUAAUAUAUUUUUCUGUUAUCCUAUAAAAUAUUCAUAGCUAAUAAAAUUUUAAUUUAUUAAAUUAUGUUCAAUUAAUAUUUUGAUAUUAAUUAAUUAGAUAAAAUAUUAUUAAUUUAAAAUAAUAAAUACUUUUAUUCCCACUAUUCCAAUCAAUAAUAAUUACUUUUAUUCCCGCAUUUCAUGAACAACUCAAUUUUAAUCCAAACAAUAAUUUACUCUAGUUCCUGCUAUAUCUGAACUUGUAACUAUUCUUUAAAUAAGUGGUUUUUAUUUAUGCUCAACUUCCUAACUUUUUGGUUUAGAAUAAUAAUCGGAAUUGGAGUAAAUAUUCCUAUUUUUACUAUUUUGUUGAGAUAAAAAAUAAUUUUGAUUAUAAAAAGGAAAUGUUGAAAAUAAAAUUUAAAUUAAAAUACAAAAUACAAAAUAAAAUUUCAAACUGAGUUUAUAAUUCAAAACAUAGAAUUAAAUUUAUAAUUUAAAUUCACUAAAGUUAUAAAAUUUAAUUUAAUUUCAAAUCAAAUGUGCAAAAUUUAAUUGGCAAGAUAAAAUUUAAAACUGAGUUGGUAAUUCAAAACAUACAAUUAAGUUUAUAAUUUAUUCAUACUAAAAUUUAAAUUAAUGUUUGAAAAUUUACAUCAAAAUUUUAAAUAUAAUUUUUUACAAAAUUAAAAUUUAAAAUUGAAUUGACAAUUCAAAACAUAAAACUAAUUUACGAUUUGUCAAAUUCAAACUUAAAAACUACAAUUUAGAUUCCAAUUUGAGUCCAUAAAUAUAAUUUAAAUUUUAAAUAAAAUUUAAAUUUUAGAAUUGAAUGCAAAAUUUGAGUUAAAAUUGAAAUUUAUAAAUCAAAUUCAAAAUGCGUGAUUGAAUAUAUAUUCAAUUUAAAUUCAAAUCAAAAUCUAAAAUUAAAAAUCUAACUUUAAACUUAUAUUUUAAUUAAAAACUAAACUUAAAAAUUUUAAUUUAAUUUCAAAUCAAAUGUGCAAAAUAUAAUUGACAAAAUAAAAUUUAACACUGAGUUGGUAAUUCAAAACAUAAUUAUAAACUAAAAUUUAAAUGUUUAAAAAUUUACAUCAAAAUUUUAAAUAUAAUUUUUUUAAAAAAUUAAAAUUUAAAAUUGAAUCGACAAUUCAAAACAUAAAACUAAUUUACGAUUUGUCAAAUUCAAACUUAAAAACUACAAUUUAGAUUCCAAUUUGAGUCCAUAAAUAUAAUUUAAAUUUUAAAUAAAAUUUAAAUUUUAAGUUUGAAUGCAACAUUUGAGUUAAAAUUGAAAUUUAUAAAUCAAAUUCAAAAUGCAUGAUUGAAUAUACAUUUCAGUUUAAAUUCAAAUCAAAAUCUAAAAUUAAAAAUCUAACUUUAAACUUAUAUUUUAAUUAAAAACUAAAGUUAAAAAAUUUAAUUUAAUUUAUUUCAAAUCAAAAUGUGCCAAAUAUAAUUGAUAUAUUCUUGGAACAAGCUUUCAUUCAUUAAAAAUUGAAUUUUCAAUUGGGCAUGGGAGGCUGGAUUGGAAAAAAGGUUAGAAAAUUCUCAUUCUAUCUGAAAAUCGGAAUUGAAAUAAGACUCUCACAUACCAAAGACACAAAUUGAAUUAUCCAUUUCGAUUCCGAUUUCUUAGUACUAUUUGAUUGACUUAUUAAAAUGGUAAAAUGCACAUGUGGUCCUCAAACUAUAUGGAAGGUGAUACUUUAGUCCUCAAAUUUUAAUUUAUUGUAAUUUUUAGCUUGAAUUUUUAAAAUUAUUGCAAUCAAGUCCUACAAUCUAAUUUAGUUGAUUAAAUUUUGGAAAAAAUUUCAAAUAUCACCCCUGUGGUUUCGCACUUUUUUAUUUUACUACCAUGUGGUUCAAAGUAUAUCAAUUUAGUAUUCCGUGAUUUUAUUUUUCUCCUUUUAUUAUCCCCUAUACAUUUUUUUUAGUUAAGUCAGUAACAAAAUUAAAACUAAAAGAUAUUAAAGUGAAUAUUCGAUAAAACUAGGUGGGAUAUCUGAAGGAUUUUGCAUAUAAUUUAACGGAAUGUUAAUGGAGGAGCUGACGAGAAAAGAAAAAUAAAACCAUAAAGUACUAAAUUGAUACACUUUAAACCAUAGAGUACUAAAUUGAGAAAAUACGAAACCACAGAAGUGGUAUUUGAUGUAAGAUGAGGUGACUAUAAUUAGUUAAUUCGGAUCUGGCAAAAAUUCAGUACAAGUAUUAUACAAAUAAAACUCGUAUCCUAAUUUUUAAAUUCGUUGAAAAAUACAGCUUAAAAGGCAAGUUUGCCAAUUAUUUGGAUACGCAAUUUAUAUGAAAAUUAUAUGUUCACCAAUUAAAAAUUCAGGAUACAAGUUUGACUAUUAAAUUAAACUUUUUUUCUCUAGAUUUAUACUACUAGUAUAAAUAGUUAUAAUUCUUAUGAACAUAAAAUAUAGAGCUAUAAAAUAAAAUAGAUUAUGCAAAAAAAAUCAAUAAUUCGAUAAUAAUUCGUGAAUAAUUUGGCAAAAAUCCGCGAAUUAAUUAACUAUGUUGGAGAAAGGAAUUUUAUCUAAAAAUUCUAUGCGAUUUUUCGGCUGAAUAGCUAGGUACACGCGAAUUAUUCGUGAAUGAAAGAUCUAAUCCAAAAAUUCACAUUUUAUUCGGAUCUUUUGGGAUAAAAAUCACAUACAGACUGUUUUAUUUGGAUUUUCAAUAAUCUGCAAAUAAUUCAUGAAUAAUUCACAAGUUAACUAACUUUUGAUGUGACAUCUUAAUUACUAGCGCAACAUCAAUCACAACACUACUGUAUCAUCUCUAUAUUAGCGAUAUAUAAAUAUUUAGUCAACUACAUUAGAAUUUAAAACUUGAUUGCGAUAUUCUUAAAGUUCGAGACAAAAAUUACGACGAAUAAAAGUUCAGGACGGAGGUGU